GCUUACACAUGCAAGUCGAGCGGUAAGGCCCUUCGGGGUACACGAGCGGCGAACGGGUGAGUAACACGUGAGCAACCUGCCCCUGACUCCGGGAUAAGCGGUGGAAACGCCGUCUAAUACCGGAUAUGACACACCAUCUCCUGGUGGUGUGUGGAAAGUUUUGUCGGUCAGGGAUGGGCUCGCGGCCUAUCAGCUAGUUGGUGGGGUAAAGGCCUACCAAGGCGAUUACGGGUAGCCGGCCUGAGAGGGCGACCGGCCACACUGGGACUGAGACACGGCCCAGACUCCUGCGGGAGGCAGCAGUGGGGAAUAUUGCACAAUGGGCGAAAGCCUGAUGCAGCGACGCCGCGUGGGGGAUGACGGCCUUCGGGUUGUAAACCUCUUUUACCACCAACGCAGGCCCCGGGUUCUCUCGGGGUUGACGGUAGGUGGGGAAUAAGGACCGGCUAACUACGUGCCAGCAGCCGCGGUAAUGC
This 476-nucleotide ribosomal RNA is filed under the name Nocardiopsis exhalans. RNAcentral describes it as "bacterial SSU rRNA". It matches the Rfam family "Bacterial small subunit ribosomal RNA", at positions 46 to 526 of the family's 1533-position model. Lineage: Bacteria; Bacillati; Actinomycetota; Actinomycetes; Streptosporangiales; Nocardiopsidaceae. The record is from RNAcentral.